Molecule: non-coding RNA, 120 nt
Organism: Domibacillus enclensis
Lineage: Bacteria; Bacillati; Bacillota; Bacilli; Caryophanales; Bacillaceae
Source: Rfam
CGGUUAUGUCUCGUAUACCGUUAUCAUUUGAGGCACUCGGCCGUGCGGUGGUGUUCCGGGAAACGGGAUGCUUAGACGCUUGUCGUCAGGCGCGCGGUGUGAGGACGGGUUAAAUGCCCG